ACGCUGGCGGCAGGCCUAACACAUGCAAGUCGAGCGGUAGAGAGAAGCUUGCUUCUCUUGAGAGCGGCGGACGGGUGAGUAAUGCCUAGGAAUCUGCCUGGUAGUGGGGGAUAACGUUCGGAAACGGACGCUAAUACCGCAUACGUCCUACGGGAGAAAGCAGGGGACCUUCGGGCCUUGCGCUAUCAGAUGAGCCUAGGUCGGAUUAGCUAGUUGGUGAGGUAAUGGCUCACCAAGGCGACGAUCCGUAACUGGUCUGAGAGGAUGAUCAGUCGCACUGGAACUGAGACACGGUCCAGACUCCUACGGGAGGCAGCAGUGGGGAAUAUUGGACAAUGGGCAAAAGCCUGAUCCAGCCAUGCCGCGUGUGUGAAGAAGGUCUUCGGAUUGUAAAGCACUUUAAGUUGGGAGGAAGGGCAUUAACCUAAUACGUUAGUGUUUUGACGUUACCGACAGAAUAAGCACCGGCUAACUCUGUGCCAGCAGCCGCGGUAAUACAGAGGGUGCAAGCGUUAAUCGGAAUUACUGGGCGUAAAGCGCGCGUAGGUGGUUUGUUAAGUUGGAUGUGAAAUCCCCGGGCUCAACCUGGGAACUGCAUUCAAAACUGACUGACUAGAGUAUGGUAGAGGGUGGUGGAAUUUCCUGUGUAGCGGUGAAAUGCGUAGAUAUAGGAAGGAACACCAGUGGCGAAGGCGACCACCUGGACUAAUACUGACACUGAGGUGCGAAAGCGUGGGGAGCAAAC
RNAcentral lists this ribosomal RNA (745 nucleotides) under uncultured bacterium. Its description in RNAcentral is "bacterial SSU rRNA". It matches the Rfam family "Bacterial small subunit ribosomal RNA", at positions 33 to 773 of the family's 1533-position model. The record is from RNAcentral.